This 520-nucleotide ribosomal RNA is filed under the name uncultured Glomus. Its description in RNAcentral is "SSU rRNA". It matches the Rfam family "Eukaryotic small subunit ribosomal RNA", at positions 569 to 1091 of the family's 1831-position model. Lineage: Eukaryota; Fungi; Glomeromycota; Glomeromycetes; Glomerales; Glomeraceae. The record is from RNAcentral.
AGCAGCCGCGGUAAUUCCAGCUCCAAUAGCGUAUAUUAAAGUUGUUGCAGUUAAAAAGCUCGUAGUUGAAUUUCGAGAUCAAAUUGUUGGUCGUGCCUUGGUACGCACUGGCAUUAUUGGUUUCUCCCUUCUGACGAAUCAUGAUGUCAUUAAUUUGGUGUCUUGGGGAAUCAGGACUGUUACUUUGAAAAAAUUAGAGUGUUUAAAGCAGGCUCACGCUUGAAUACAUUAGCAUGGAAUAAUGAAAUAGGACGUUUGAUUCUAUUUUGUUGGUUUCUAGGAUCGACGUAAUGAUUAAUAGGGAUAGUUGGGGGCAUUAGUAUUCAAUUGUCAGAGGUGAAAUUCUUGGAUUUAUUGAAGACUAACUACUGCGAAAGCAUUUGCCAAGGAUGUUUUCAUUAAUCAAGAACGAAAGUUAGGGGAUCGAAGACGAUCAGAUACCGUCGUAGUCUUAACCAUAAACUAUGCCGACUAGGGAUCGGAUGAUGUCAAUUUCUUAAUGACUCAUUCGGCGCCUUAC